This 475-nucleotide ribosomal RNA is filed under the name uncultured bacterium. RNAcentral's name for it is "SSU rRNA". It matches the Rfam family "Bacterial small subunit ribosomal RNA", at positions 26 to 518 of the family's 1533-position model. The record is from RNAcentral.
AGAAUCAACGCUGGCGGCGUGCCUAACACAUGCAAGUCGAACGAGAAAGUGGAGCAAUCCAUGAGUAAAGUGGCGACCGGGUGAGUAACACGUGACCAAUCUACCCUUGAGUGGGGGAUAACCUCGGGAAACCGGGGCUAAUACCGCAUAAUAUCUUCGGGACGGAAGUACUGAAGAUCAAAGGAGCAAUUCGCUUAAGGAGGAGGUCGCGGCUGAUUAGCUAGUUGGCGGGGUAAUGGCCCACCAAGGCAAAGAUCGGUAGCCGGCCUGAGAGGGCGCACGGCCACACUGGAACUGAAACACGGUCCAGACUCCUACGGGAGGCAGCAGUGGGGAAUUUUGCGCAAUGGGGGAAACCCUGACGCAGCAACGCCGCGUGGAGGAUGAAGUCCUUGGGACGUAAACUCCUUUCGACCCGGACGAUAAUGACGGUACGGGUGGAAGAAGCCCCGGCUAACUUCGUGCCAGCAGCCGC